This 228-nucleotide ribosomal RNA is filed under the name Paenibacillus sp. DIT 10. RNAcentral describes it as "partial 16S ribosomal RNA". It matches the Rfam family "Bacterial small subunit ribosomal RNA", at positions 1158 to 1384 of the family's 1533-position model. Lineage: Bacteria; Bacillati; Bacillota; Bacilli; Caryophanales; Paenibacillaceae. The record is from RNAcentral.
ACAAACCGGAGGAAGGCGGGGAUGACGUCAAAUCAUCAUGCCCCUUAUGACCUGGGCUACACACGUACUACAAUGGCCAGUACAACGGGAAGCGAAGUCGCGAGAUGGAGCCAAUCCUAUCAAAGCGGAUCUCAGUUCGGAUUGCAGGCUGCAACCCGCCUGCAUGAAGUCGGAAUUGCUAGUAAUCGCGGAUCAGCAUGCCGCGGUGAAUACGUUCCCGGGUCUUGU